UACGGAAGGGGCGAGCGUUGUUCGGAAUUAUUGGGCGUAAAGGGCGCGUAGGCGGUUGUGUUUGUCUACUGUGAAAGGCCACGGCUUACCUGUGGAGGUGCGGUAGAAACGGCACAACUUGAGGCUGGGAGGGGUUGGUGGAAUUCCCUGUGUAGCGGUGAAAUGCGUAGAUACGGGGGAGAACACUCGUGGCGAAGGCGGCCAACUGGCCCAGUCCUGACGCUGAGGCGCGACAGCGUGGGGAGCAAACAGGAUUAGAUACCCUGGUAGUCCACGCCGUAAACGAUGGGCACUAGGUGUCGGCGGUUUUGAGUCCGUCGGUGCCGGCGCUAACGCAGUAAGUGCCCCGCCUGGGGAGUACGGUCGCAAGGCUGAA
Molecule: ribosomal RNA, 376 nt
Filed under: uncultured bacterium
Lineage: Bacteria
Description: bacterial SSU rRNA
Rfam family: Bacterial small subunit ribosomal RNA
Source: RNAcentral